AGCUCGAUGAUUACAGCCAAUUAUUUUUGGCAAUAUACGCUAUUCUGAGAAAUUAAAUGGCUGACACUGGAAUACAUGAGAGCU
Molecule: small nucleolar RNA, 84 nt
Organism: Phoenix dactylifera (date palm)
Lineage: Eukaryota; Viridiplantae; Streptophyta; Magnoliopsida; Arecales; Arecaceae
Product: small nucleolar RNA U54
Source: RefSeq, a predicted model, not a curated record